GACGAACGCUGGCGGCGUGCUUAACACAUGCAAGUCGAACGAAAAUACCAAGCUUGCUUGGUUGAUUAGUGGCGAACGGGUGAGUAACACGUGAGUAACCUGCCCCUUACUUUCCUGGAUAACUGCUCGAAAGGGUAGCUAAUACGGGAUAUUCUGACCAGCCUGCAUGGGUUGGUUUGGAAAGGUUGUUUUUCUGGUAAGGGAUGGGCUCGCGGCCUAUCAGCUUGUUGGUGGGGUGAUGGCCUACCAAGGCUUUGACGGGUAGCCGGCCUGAGAGGGUGGACGGUCACACUGGGACUGAGAUACGGCCCAGACUCCUACGGGAGGCAGCAGUGGGGAAUAUUGCACAAUGGGCGCAAGCCUGAUGCAGCGACGCCGCGUGAGGGAUGAAGGCCUUCGGGUUGUAAACCUCUUUCGUCAGGGAACAAGGCACUGCUGUUUUGGUGGUGUUGAGGGUACCUGGAUAAGAAGCGCCGGCUAACUACGU
Molecule: ribosomal RNA, 487 nt
Filed under: uncultured bacterium
Lineage: Bacteria
Description: partial 16S ribosomal RNA
Rfam family: Bacterial small subunit ribosomal RNA
Source: RNAcentral